RNAcentral lists this ribosomal RNA (253 nucleotides) under uncultured bacterium. Its description in RNAcentral is "partial 16S ribosomal RNA". It matches the Rfam family "Bacterial small subunit ribosomal RNA", at positions 524 to 776 of the family's 1533-position model. The record is from RNAcentral.
UACGUAGGCAGCAAGCGUUGUUCGGAGUUACUGGGCGUAAAGAGUGCGUAGGCGGUCCUGUAAGUUUGGUGUGAAAUCUCCCGGCUCAACUGGGAGGGUGCGCCGAAGACUGCAGGGCUUGAGUAUGGGAGAGGUAAGCGGAAUUCCUGGUGUAGCGGUGAAAUGCGUAGAUAUCAGGAGGAACACCUGUGGUGUAGACAGCUUACUGGACCAUAACUGGCGCUGAGGCACGAAAGCGUGGGUAGCAAACAGG